AUGCUAGUUUAUAUUUUUUUGUAGAAUUGAUAAUAAAACUGUUUUUCAUUAAUAUCAUUUUAAUAUGUAUAGGAAAAUGAUAAUAAAAUAAGUACCGAGACGAUAAAACAGUGUGACGUUCAUGUUUGUAUAUGGCUUGCAUGUGAUUUUUGAAAUUCAAUGCUUGUUCUGCUAAACUAAACUCAGAUAAGUGUUGAUGGGUCACUAGUACUGACCCAUAUCUCCACGGAAAAAAUCUCCACGGUUUCAAUUAAUUUAUAAUCAAUGUUUAUCACAAAAUAUUAGUUUGUAUAUUUGUUUUACUUUGUCGUUUAUAAAGUUCAUGAUGGAUGUUUAUAGUGUUUUUAACUGUCCGCGUCUCUAACUAAUACAUUCAGCAAAUCAAGAGAAGUUUUUGUUUUAGAAAAUAAUGCUUGGACACGUUGGUCCGGUUUACAAUAAAAUUAUAUGUGGUUAUACGCCAAAUUAAAGUUUUUUCUGUAUAAUUAAGUACUCUGUGAAAAAUCAGGAUCAUGUCACCGAAAUGCUUAAACUGUGCCUUCAGAAAAUAUGCCAAAUGCAAGCGGAAAUGAAGCAGGAAGAAGAGAAUCCGCACGAUCCUGAGAUGGAAGGAUAUGCAGCAUGUGCUAUGGAAACCUUGAGGUUUCUGUCUGCUCAAGGCCUUCCGAACGACCAUCCCACUGUUAAAGCUCUUUACGAAAAGCUUUUUACGAAUAGCUUUUCCUGAGAAAGAGAGAGUUUUAGAGUUUAUUUUUAGGUACUUAGAAGGCGAAAAUCCCACAAUACUUGUUACUGAUUCAAAUUAGUCUAUACUAUAUUUCAAACAGCGUGUUCUUUCUAGUCAAUAGAUUUAGGAUUUUUUAUAAUCAUUUUUUAAUAAGUUGAUUUCAAUCAAAGGUAUUUUACGUAUUAGUUUGAUUGUUUUACUAACUAGGCAAAUAUGAGAGUGUGAAUUCACAUUGACGUAACUAAUAAGUUACUUGAUAAUAAAAAUUCACAUAACCCCUUAUGUGAAUAAUGAAUAAAUAAAAAUUGAUUUUAUAUAGCAUAUAAGGGCAAGUCUAGUCAUUAUACUUAAGUAUUUCAGCUUGUAUCUAGUCAUUUUUAGAUAGAUAAUAAUUAUAAUUUAUGUACCUAACUUAGUAAAUAAAAAAACCAUAAAUGAAA
Molecule: RNA transcript, 1167 nt
Organism: Dendroctonus ponderosae (mountain pine beetle)
Lineage: Eukaryota; Metazoa; Arthropoda; Insecta; Coleoptera; Curculionidae
Exons: 3
Source: RefSeq, a predicted model, not a curated record